This is a long non-coding RNA of Carassius carassius (crucian carp), 734 nucleotides long. RefSeq lists it as uncharacterized. The record is from RefSeq and is a predicted model, not a curated record. NCBI's taxonomy places the organism in Eukaryota, Metazoa, Chordata, Actinopteri, Cypriniformes, Cyprinidae. The transcript has 3 exons.
UGAUUCGCUAAACGCGAUUCAGAGUCCCGAUCUGAAUCAAAUGUUUUUGAACUCCGAAGCCCCGAUCAAAUGAUUCGCGAAACGCGCAUCGGAGUCCCGAUCUGAAUCAAAUGUUUUGCAAACUCCGAAGUCCCGAUCAAAUGAUUCGCGAAACGCGCAUCGGAUCCCGAUCUGAAUCAAAUGUUUUGCAAACUCCGAAGCCCCGAUCAAAUGAUUCGCGAAACGCGCUUCGGAUCCCGAUCUGAAUCAAAUGUUUUGCAAACUCCGAAGCCCCGAUCAAAUGAUUCGCGAAACGCGCAUCGGAGUCCCGAUCUGAAUCAAAUGUUUUGCAAACUCCGAAGCCCCGAUCAAAUGAUUCGGGAAACGCGCUUCGGAGUCCCGAUCUGAAUCAAAUGUUUUGCAAACUCCGAAGCCCCGAUCAAAUGAUUCGCGAAACGCGCAUCGGAGUCCCGAUCUGAAUCAAAUGUUUUGCAAACUCCGAAGCCCCGAUCAAAUGAUUCGCGAAACGCGCAUCGGAGUCCCGAUCUGAAUCAAAUGUUUUGCAAACUCCGAAGCCCCGAUCAAAUGAUUCGCGAAACGCGCAUCGGAGUCCCGAUCUGAAUCAAAUGUUUUGCAAACUCCGAAGCCCCGAUCAAAUGAUUCGCGAAAUGCGCAUCGGAGUCCCGAUCUGAAUCAAAUGUUUUGCAAACUCCGAAGCCCCGAUCAAAUGAUUCGCGAAACGCGCAUCGGAGUCC